UCCAUUGCGGACCUAAAGUUCCUCCUCCUGUGCUUCCAACAGAUGUCCGGCCUCACCAUCAACUUCGACAAGAGCGAAGUGAUGGUCCUCAGCUACCCCCCGGACGAUGCUCUAUCCAUUGCGGACCGGCUGAACUGUCGCCUGGGCUCCUUCCCCACGACUUACUUGGGGGUGCCCAUUAGUGACUCCAGACUCACCGUCGCGGAUCUCCGCCCGAUGGUGACUGGGAUGCAGCACAGGGUUGAACCCUGGAGGGGACGCUGGCUGAAAGCUGCCAGGGUGAUUCUAAUCAACUCCUCGCUUGCCUGCCUUCUCUGGUUUCUCAUGAGCUUCUACAGCCUUCAUGAGACCCUCCAUCAGGAGGUGGCCAAAUACCAGUCGAGGUUCUUCUAGGCUGGUGAGGGCGACAAGCAGAAGUACCAUAUGGUGAGCUGGCCCGACAUCUGCAAACCCAAAGACCAGGGUGGCCUUGGGAUCAUGUCAUCCCGACGCAUGAACAUUGCCCUCCUGACCCGAUGGCUGUGGCGUAUUGCCAAUGGGGAGGGAGGCCUCUGGCUCACCAUCAUCCAUAAUAAGUACCUCCGUGGCCAACCUCUUGCCUUUUGCCAACGUACGGGUGGAUCCCAAUUCUGGCAGUCCGUGAUCCAGCUUCUGCCCAUACUAUGCAUCGGCACAUCCAUCUCGGUUGGCUCCGGGGCCUCGACCUUGUUCUGGUUCGACCGCUGGCUUGGGGACUUCCCCCUGGCUGCGCGAUUCCCAGAACUAUUUGCCAUUGCGGCUGACCCUCGGGUCUCUGUCGAGACGGCCCUUAUUGACUUAGGGCGUCUCGCCUUCCGGCGCCCCUUUGGCCCCCUCGAGGUGGCCGCCUAG
This 870-nucleotide ribosomal RNA is filed under the name Triticum aestivum (bread wheat). RNAcentral's name for it is "partial small subunit ribosomal RNA". Lineage: Eukaryota; Viridiplantae; Streptophyta; Magnoliopsida; Poales; Poaceae. The record is from RNAcentral.